GCCUAACACAUGCAAGUCGAACGGAACUUUUUUAAUUGAUUUCUUCGGAAUGAUUUUGAUUAAGUUUAGUGGCGGACGGGUGAGUAACGCGUGAGUAACCUGCCUCUGAGAGGGGAAUAACAUUCUGAAAAGAAUGCUAAUACCGCAUAAUAUAUAUUUAUCGCAUGGUAGAUAUAUCAAAGAUUUAUCGCUCAGAGAUGGACUCGCGUCCGAUUAGUUAGUUGGUGAGGUAACGGCUCACCAAGACCAGGAUCGGAAGCCGGACUGAGAGGUUGAACGGCCACAUUGGGACUGAGACACGGCCCAGACUCCUACGGGAGGCAGCAGUGGGGGAUAUUGCGCAAUGGGGGAAACCCUGACGCAGCAACGCCGCGUGAAGGAUGAAGGUCUUCGGAUUGUAAACUUCUUUUAUUAAGGACGAAUAAAGUGACGGUACUUAAUGAAUAAGCUCCGGCUAACUACGUGCCAGCCGCCGCAGUAA
RNAcentral lists this ribosomal RNA (481 nucleotides) under uncultured bacterium. RNAcentral describes it as "partial 16S ribosomal RNA". It matches the Rfam family "Bacterial small subunit ribosomal RNA", at positions 46 to 523 of the family's 1533-position model. The record is from RNAcentral.